GACGAACGCUGGCGGCGUGCCUAAUACAUGCAAGUCGAACGCACGAAGUUGAAGAGCUUGCUCUUUAACCAAGUGAGUGGCGGACGGGUGAGUAACACGUGGGUAACCUGCCCAUUAGAGGGGGAUAACAUUCGGAAACGGAUGCUAAUACCGCAUAGUUUCAGGAAUCGCAUGAUUCUUGAAGGAAAGGUGGCUUCGGCUACCACUAAUGGAUGGACCCGCGGCGUAUUAGCUAGUUGGUGAGGUAAUGGCUCACCAAGGCAAUGAUACGUAGCCGACCUGAGAGGGUGAUCGGCCACACUGGGACUGAGACACGGCCCAGACUCCUACGGGAGGCAGCAGUAGGGAAUCUUCCGCAAUGGACGAAAGUCUGACGGAGCAACGCCGCGUGAGCGAAGAAGGCCUUCGGGUCGUAAAGCUCUGUUGUUAGGGAAGAACGUUGGUGAGAGUAGAAAGCUCAUCAAGUGACGGUAACUACCCAGAAGGGGACGGCUAACUCCGUGCCAGCAGCCGCGGUAAUACAGAGGGUGCGAGCGUUAGUCGGAUUUACUGGGCGUAAAGCGUGCGUAGGCGGCUUUUUAAGUCGGAUGUGAAAUCUCUGAGCUUAACUUAGGAGUUGCAUUCGAUACUGGGAAGCUAGAGUAUGGGAGAGGAUGGUAGAAUUCCAGGUGUAGCGGUGAAAUGCGUAGAGAUCUGGAGGAAUACCGAUGGCGAAGGCAGCCAUCUGGCCUAAUACUGACUCUGAGUACGAAAGCAUGGGGAGCAACAGG
RNAcentral lists this ribosomal RNA (770 nucleotides) under uncultured Sphingomonas sp. RNAcentral's name for it is "bacterial SSU rRNA". It matches the Rfam family "Bacterial small subunit ribosomal RNA", at positions 27 to 775 of the family's 1533-position model. The record is from RNAcentral. Lineage: Bacteria; Pseudomonadati; Pseudomonadota; Alphaproteobacteria; Sphingomonadales; Sphingomonadaceae.